Long non-coding RNA from Bubalus bubalis (water buffalo), 937 nucleotides. RefSeq lists it as uncharacterized. NCBI's taxonomy places the organism in Eukaryota, Metazoa, Chordata, Mammalia, Artiodactyla, Bovidae. The record is from RefSeq and is a predicted model, not a curated record. The transcript is spliced from 3 exons.
UACUGAUUAUUUGAGUGGCAAAGAAUUGAGAGAAAGACUAGAAAAGAAGUGAGACAGCAAUUAAAAUUACUAGGUGGUGGGAUACAUGCUAUGAUUGAGAACUGCAAAAGGCUAUUAUGACUGGAGAUUAUAUGAGGGCUGGAGAGUGAUAAGAGAUGAGGCUGGAGAGAAGAAGAGGAGAGGACCCAGACACACAGAGAAGGAGGUCACGUGAAGCUGAAGGCGGAGCUUGGAGUGAUGCGGCUCAAGUCAAGGAAUGCCAAAGAUUGCUGGGAGACACCAGAAUCCAGAAAAGAGGGAUGAAAGAUUCUUCCCUAGAGACUUCAGAGAGAGCACGGCCCUUCCAACAUAUUGAUUUUGCACCUUUAUCCUCUAGAACUUUGAAAGAAUACAUUUCUGUGGUUUUAAGUCAUUAAAUUUGUGGCAAUCUGUUACAUCAGCCCUGGGCAACUAACAAUCAUAAUAAGGAGUUUUAACUAACAUACAGACAUGUAUGUCAGGUGUCAGCCUUGACAUGUCCUAUGACAAGAUUUAAGUAAAGAAGUGACAUUAUUGGUACUUUAAAAAGGUCACUCUGGCUACAUUGUAGAGGUUGGAUGUGAAGAAAGAGAGACUGAAUAUGGGGAUAUGUUGGGAGGAUCUAGGAAAGGGCAGCGUUAAGUUGUGAAGUGAGGAGGGGAUGAAAAGAAGUGGCUAGAUUUGUGAAAUAGUAUAAAAGGUAGAUUUGGCAGAAUUUCAUCAUUAUUUCUUAGAUAAGAAGGAUUUGUGAAGAGUAAAAUGUCAAGAACUCUCGACAUACAGUCUAUCUUUCCCACAACUCGUUCGAAAAAACAUCUGUUCCUAUCUACAGCUCCAGUUAAGGCAGAGGACAUAGGCAUGACAUAUUUGUACCAUUUGAGUCAGUUAGGUUGGGGCAAUCUGAGUCUCUUCUGGUAUG